This 713-nucleotide ribosomal RNA is filed under the name Vibrio alginolyticus. RNAcentral describes it as "bacterial SSU rRNA". It matches the Rfam family "Bacterial small subunit ribosomal RNA", at positions 128 to 833 of the family's 1533-position model. The record is from RNAcentral. Lineage: Bacteria; Pseudomonadati; Pseudomonadota; Gammaproteobacteria; Vibrionales; Vibrionaceae.
GCCCUGAUGUGGGGGAUAACCUUUGGAAACGAUGGCUAAUACCGCAUGAUGCCUACGGGCCAAAAAGGGGGACCUUCGGGCCUCUCGCGUCAGGAUCUGCCUAGGUGGGAUUAGCUAGUUGGAGAGGUAAGGGCUCACCAAGGCGACUAUCCCUAGCUGGUCUGAGAGGAUGAUCACCCACACUGGAACUGAGACACGGUCCAGACUCCUACGGGAGGCAGCAGUGGGGAAUAUUGCACAAUGGGCGCGAUCCUGAUGCACCCAUGCCGCGUGUAUGAAGAAGGCCUUCUGGUUGUAAAGUACUUUCAGUCUCGAGGAAGGCGGCGUCGUUAAUAUCGGCGUUGUUUGACGUUAGCGGCAUUAGAAGCACCGGCUCACUCCGUGCCAGCAGCCGCGGUAAUACGGAGGGUGCGAGCGUUAAUCGGAAUUACUGGGCGUAAAGCGCAUGCGCGUGGUUUGUUAAGUCGGAUGUGAAAGCCCGGGGCUCAACCUCGGAAUAGCAUUUGAAACUGUUAGACUAGAGUACUGUAGAGGGCGGGUAGAAUUUCACGUGUAGCGGUGAUAUGCGUAGAGAUCUGAAGGAAUACCGGUGGUCAUCGCGGCCCUCCUGGACAGAUACUGACACUCGGAUGCGAAAGCGUGGGGAGCAAACCGGAUUAGAUACCCUGGUAGUCAACUCCGUGUACGAAUGUCUACUUGGAUGUUAUGUCCUU